UUUAAAUAUAUUUGCAGCUCAUAUCUGUUGUGAACAACUUUGAUGUGUGAAUUUCCUAUGUGAUUGUAUCGUAUUUCUGUGUUGUUAAAGGGAUAGUUUACUUUGAAAUUAAUUUUUGAUAUGUUUUAGCUUACCUCAAGGGCAUCCAAGAUGUAGGUGUCUUUGUUUCCACAGUAUUUUCCAUUUUGAUAUUUUUUGGUCAAACCGUUCUUGUCUGUCAGUCAUAUAAUGCAGGUCUAUGGUCACCACCUCAAAGAGCAUGCACAGAGAAAUCCAAAUUAAACAUGAUUUAAUGACUCGUAAAUGAAAGUGAUGAAGAUUCCCAAAGAGAAGAGCAGAGUGCAGAACCUUUCACAUUGGCACAGGAAAGUGAUGAAGAUUCCCAAAGAGAAGAGCAGAGAGCAGAACCUUUAACAUUGGAGCAGGAAAAUGCCCCUCAAGAAAUACGUGAUGAUAUCCACUCUCAUGGACUAACGGAAGGGCAAAGUUGCAUCUCUAUUUUCUCCUUUGCAUUGAGACACAACACUACUGGUGUAUUGAUGGAAGACCUGCUGAAACUUCUAAAGUUACAUUCUGCUGGGACAAAUGCAGUACCAGCAAGCAAGUAUUUUUUGGAGAAACCAUUAGCUGGUAUUAUAGAUCAAUUAAAACGCCAUCAUUACUGCAGAGUAUGUACUAAGUACCUUGGCACUUCACAAUCACAAGAAGAAACACUUACAUGUGUGUCAUGUUCCUCGUCCAUAACAGUAAAAGACAGUUUACAGGAAGGACAUUUCUUUAUCAGUAUUCCAUUAAAGGAUCAACUGAAGGAUGUUCUUGAGAAUCAAGGUAUGCACGAUCUCUGUUUUCGUCCUGAUGACAGUAGUAGGCAUGUAAUAAGUGAUAUAUGUGAUGGCACCUUAUAUCAGACCUUGAAAUCAAACAGUGAAGAGGAUUUCCUCUCCCUUACAUUUAAUUGUGAUGGUGUACCAGUCUUUCAGUCCUCUAAAUUUAGUAUUUGGCCUAUACUGUGUUGUGUCAAUGAGAUACCCCCUGAGAGUAGAGAUAAGCAUGUGCUUUUAUGUGCUUUAUGGUUUGGAGCAAAAAAGCCAGACAUGACCUGCUACUUCCAUCCAUUUGUAGAGGAAUGUGCCAAUCUUUCACAAGCUGGCUUUGAGUGGCAACAUCCUAGUGAUCAGUCAUGGAGACACGUGAAGGUGCAUCCAUUGUGCUGUGUGUGUGAUGCAGUAGCAAGGCCAUUACUACAAAAUUUUAAGCAAUUUAAUGGUGAAUAUGGCUGCGGAGUCUGCCUUCACCCUGGGGUGCAGAUGAGGAAAGGAAAAGGAAAGUCAAGGGUUUACACAUGUGCAGAUGAAAAACCAAGUGACAGAAAUCAUAAAACCACAGUAGAGAUAGGACAAAUUGCUGAAAGAGAAGGGACAACAAUAUUGGGCAUAAAGGGCCCAUCUGCCAUUGUAGAUUUACCAAACUUUGAUGUAAUCAAUGGGAUGGUCCCUGACUAUAUGCGUUGUGUGUUGCUUGGCGUGUGCAGACAAAUGGCAACUUUAUGGAUCUAUUCAAAAAACUAUUCUGAGCCAUGGUACAUUGGCACACAAACAGCUAUCUUGGACAGACACCUCUUGUCUAUAAAACCUCCAGGUAUUGUUGCUCGAGUUCCAAGAUCUCUGACUGAACGCAAAUUCUGGAAAGCCCAUGAGUGGCAACACUGGCUUCUGUACUAUAGCUUGCCAGUUCUAAAAGGCAUACUUCCACAGAAGUAUCACUGUCAUUGGGCAUUACUGAUAGAGGGCAUAAGCAUUCUGUUGGGAUCUGAAAUAAAUACAGAACAGAUAAAUCAUGCCCAUGAGGCAUUAGUGUACUUUGUUGGAGGUGUGCAGUCGCUGUAUGGGGAAGAGCACAUGACAUUCAAUGUUCAUUCACUUCUGCAUUUGAGCAAAAGUGAUGUGCAUUGUGGUCCUUUGUGGGCGCACUCAGCCUUUAUGUUUGAAGAUUUCAAUGGAUACCUCCUGAAACAAGUAAAAAGUAGCCAAGCUGUACCACAACAAAUAUGCAAACGAGUUCUGUUUUCCCGAGCUUUUCCCCGUUUAGCAAAGCAAUUUUUAACAAAUGCACCUGCAGAAGUUACAGAUUUCUGUAAUGAAAUGAGAACCGAAAAGCAUCAUGUCAAGAAGUUUGCGAAGUUCACUGAGGUAACUGCCCUUGGUCCACCAAAUGUAAGAUUAAUGUCUGUUAGUGAUCAAGCUGCCCUACAAACAGUGAGAGAGGUUUCCCCAAACUCUGUGGUAAAUUACUACAAGAGAAUUGCUGUAAAUGGAGAGGUUGUUCAUGGUCAUACCUACAGCAAAACAAAACAAAGAAACAACUCUAUUGUGCUUUUGAAGGAUGGGAGUAUUUUUAGAGUGUCCCACUUUAUUGACAUGGGUGAUCAGUGUUUAUAUGCCAUAGGAAACUAUGGUAAUUGCACAGUGCAGAAGUUAGCCAGAGGUUCUCUUAUCAAAACUCCACUGAGCUACAUGUCAACUGUCCUCUUUCCCACAGGCUUUCACAAAGCCAUAAACACUGCUCAGGUAGUUAGACCAUGUAUGUAUAUUCAGUGUCCACAGUCCAGCUCAAUUGUUUGUCGGCUACUUAAGACAUAUUACUGUAAAUGAACUAAAUGUGAAGAUGGCCACUUAUUCAUUCAGGGUUGCUGAGCUGGAAAGUAACUAAUUGCUUCUACUGUUACUGUAAUCUAAUGUGAGA
Molecule: long non-coding RNA, 2742 nt
Organism: Cyprinus carpio carpio
Lineage: Eukaryota; Metazoa; Chordata; Actinopteri; Cypriniformes; Cyprinidae
Source: Ensembl